GACAAACGCUGGCGGCGUGCAUAAAACAUGCAAGUCGAACGGACUUCAGUCCGCAAGGACUGAAGUGAGUGGCGAACGGCUGAGUAACACGUAGGUGACCUGCCCCGAAGUUUGGGAUAACACCUCGAAGAGGUGCUAAUACCGGAUGUGACCACCGAUUCAUUUCGGUGCUUAAAGUACGCAAGACGCUUUGGGAGGGGCCUGCGGCGGAUUAGCUAGUUGGUGUGGUAACGGCACACCAAGGCUUCGAUCCGUAGCUGGUCUGAGAGGA
This 271-nucleotide ribosomal RNA is filed under the name uncultured bacterium. Its description in RNAcentral is "partial 16S ribosomal RNA". It matches the Rfam family "Bacterial small subunit ribosomal RNA", at positions 28 to 300 of the family's 1533-position model. The record is from RNAcentral.